Molecule: ribosomal RNA, 431 nt
Filed under: uncultured bacterium
Lineage: Bacteria
Description: bacterial SSU rRNA
Rfam family: Bacterial small subunit ribosomal RNA
Source: RNAcentral
UACGGGAGGCAGCAGUGGGGAAUAUUGGACAAUGGGCGAAAGCCUGAUCCAGCCAUGCCGCAUGAGUGAAGAAGGCCUUCGGGUUGUAAAGCUCUUUUAGUGAGAAAGAUAAUGACGGUACUCACAGAAGAAGUCCUGGCUAACUCCGUGCCAGCAGCCGCGGUAAUACGGAGAGGGCUAGCGUUAAUCAGAAUUACUGGGCGUAAAGAGCACGUAGGUGGUUUUUUAAAGUCAGAUGUGAAAUCCCUGGGCUUAACCUAGGAACUGCAUUUUGAAACUGAAAUACUAGAGUAUCGUAGAGGGAGGUAGAAUUCUAGGUGUAGCGGUGAAAUGCGUAGAUAUCUGGAGGAAUACCUGUGGCGAAAGCGGCCUCCUAAACGAAUACUGACACUGAGGUGCGAAAGCGUGGGGAGCAAACAGGGAUUAGAACC